Molecule: ribosomal RNA, 456 nt
Filed under: Microbacterium maritypicum
Lineage: Bacteria; Bacillati; Actinomycetota; Actinomycetes; Micrococcales; Microbacteriaceae
Description: bacterial SSU rRNA
Rfam family: Bacterial small subunit ribosomal RNA
Source: RNAcentral
GAUCCUGGCUCAGGAUGAACGCUGGCGGCGUGCUUAACACAUGCAAGUCGAACGGUGAACACGGAGCUUGCUCUGUGGGAUCAGUGGCGAACGGGUGAGUAACACGUGAGCAACCUGCCCCUGACUCUGGGAUAAGCGCUGGAAACGGCGUCUAAUACUGGAUAUGUGACGUGACCGCAUGGUCUGCGUCUGGAAAGAAUUUCGGUUGGGGAUGGGCUCGCGGCCUAUCAGCUUGUUGGUGAGGUAAUGGCUCACCAAGGCGUCGACGGGUAGCCGGCCUGAGAGGGUGACCGGCCACACUGGGACUGAGACACGGCCCAGACUCCUACGGGAGGCAGCAGUGGGGAAUAUUGCACAAUGGGCGCAAGCCUGAUGCAGCAACGCCGCGUGAGGGACGACGGCCUUCGGGUUGUAAACCUCUUUUAGCAGGGAAGAAGCGAAAGUGACGGUACCUGC